CAGCACAAGGCACAUGGCAGAUAGAGUGCAAACCAGUGAAGUAAACAAACAGUGCAGAUAUAAUGAUUGUAAUGCAAAAAGAGCUUAUUUUGAUUAAAGUGACUGUAUGA
Sinocyclocheilus grahami is the source of this 110-nucleotide long non-coding RNA. RefSeq lists it as uncharacterized. The record is from RefSeq and is a predicted model, not a curated record. NCBI's taxonomy places the organism in Eukaryota, Metazoa, Chordata, Actinopteri, Cypriniformes, Cyprinidae. The transcript has 3 exons.